GACGAACGCUGGCGGUGUGCUUAACACAUGCAAGUCGAACGGUAAGGCCCUUUCGGGGGUACACGAGUGGCGAACGGGUGAGUAACACGUGAGUAACCUGCCCUCAUCUCUGGGAUAACAGUCGGAAACGGUUGCUAAUACUGGAUAUGAGCUUGCAAGGCAUCUUGUGGGUUGGAAAGAUUUUUUUUGGUUGGGGAUGGACUCGCGGCCUAUCAGCUUGUUGGUGAGGUAGUGGCUCACCAAGGCUUCGACGGGUAGCCGGCCUGAGAGGGCGACCGGCCACAUUGGGACUGAGAUACGGCCCAAACUCCUACGGGAGGCAGCAGUGGGGAAUAUUGCACAAUGGACGGAAGUCUGAUGCAGCAACGCCGCGUGCGGGAUGACGGCCUUCGGGUUGUAAACCGCUUUCAAUUGUGACGAAGCGUUUUUGUGACGGUAGCAGUAGAAGAAGCACCGGCUAACUACGUG
Molecule: ribosomal RNA, 468 nt
Filed under: uncultured bacterium
Lineage: Bacteria
Description: partial 16S ribosomal RNA
Rfam family: Bacterial small subunit ribosomal RNA
Source: RNAcentral